Molecule: ribosomal RNA, 663 nt
Filed under: Synechocystis salina CCALA 192
Lineage: Bacteria; Bacillati; Cyanobacteriota; Cyanophyceae; Synechococcales; Merismopediaceae
Description: bacterial SSU rRNA
Rfam family: Bacterial small subunit ribosomal RNA
Source: RNAcentral
CGGACGGGUGAGUAACGCGUGAGAACCUGCCUUCAGAAUGGGGACAACAGUUGGAAACGACUGCUAAUACCCAAUGUGCCGAAAGGUGAAAGAUUUAUCGUCUGAAGAUGGGCUCGCGUCUGAUUAGCUAGAUGGUGGGGUAAGAGCCUACCAUGGCAACGAUCAGUAGCUGGUCUGAGAGGAUGAGCAGCCACACUGGGACUGAGACACGGCCCAGACUCCUACGGGAGGCAGCAGUGGGGAAUUUUCCGCAAUGGGCGAAAGCCUGACGGAGCAAUACCGCGUGAGGGAGGAAGGUCCUUGGAUUGUAAACCUCUUUUAUCAGGGAAGAAAAAAAUGACGGUACCUGAUGAAUAAGCAUCGGCUAACUCCGUGCCAGCAGCCGCGGUAAUACGGAGGAUGCAAGCGUUAUCCGGAAUUAUUGGGCGUAAAGCGUCCGUAGGUGGUUUUGCAAGUCUGCUGUUAAAGAAUGGAGCUUAACUCCAUAAGAGCGGUGGAAACUGCAAGACUAGAGUACAGUAGGGGUAGCAGGAAUUCCCAGUGUAGCGGUGAAAUGCGUAGAUAUUGGGAAGAACAUCGGUGGCGAAAGCGUGCUACUGGGCUGAAACUGACACUGAGGGACGAAAGCUAGGGUAGCGAAUGGGAUUAGAUACCCCAGUAGUC